UGGGGAAUUUUGGACAAUGGGCGAAAGCCUGAUCCAGCAAUGCCGCGUGUGUGAAGAAGGCCUUCGGGUUGUAAAGCACUUUUGUCCGGAAAGAAAUCCUUGGCUCUAAUACAGUCGGGGGAUGACGGUACCGGAAGAAUAAGCACCGGCUAACUACGUGCCAGCAGCCGCGGUAAUACGUAGGGUGCAAGCGUUAAUCGGAACUACUGGGCGUAAAGCGUGCGCAGGCGGUUUGCUAAGACCGAUGUGAAAUCCCCGGGCUCAACCUGGGAACUGCAUUGGUGACUGGCAGGCUAGAGUAUGGCAGAGGGGGGUAGAAUUCCACGUGUAGCAGUGAAAUGCGUAGAGAUGUGGAGGAAUACCGAUGGCGAAGGCAGCCCCUGGGCCAAUACUGACGCUCAUGCACGAAAGCGUGGGGAGCAAACAGGAUUAGAUACCCUGGUAGUCCACGCCCUAAAACGAUGUCAACUAGUUGUUGGGGAUUCAUUUCCUUAGUAACGUAGCUAACGCGUGAAGUUGACCGCCUGGGGAGUACGGUCGCAAGAUUAAAACUCAAAGGAAUUGACGGGGUCAUAGCUGUUUCCU
This 585-nucleotide ribosomal RNA is filed under the name uncultured bacterium. Its description in RNAcentral is "partial 16S ribosomal RNA". It matches the Rfam family "Bacterial small subunit ribosomal RNA", at positions 355 to 1375 of the family's 1533-position model. The record is from RNAcentral.